AGAUCAGGAACAUUCAAAUAUCUCUGUUAGUGUAUGGCUAUAUGACAUUUUGUGGGUAGCGAUUUUUAAAAAAAAAUGUUUUAUACAAAUUUGUUCCUGAUAUUUGUAGCACAAUGGACUACUUCAUCAACUGUUUCAGCAUGCACGAAGUUUACUGAUGAGCCAAAUUUAAUUGCUACGGGCAUGGUAGAAGGAAGAUGUAUGUAUGGUUUUUCUGUUGGUUAUCAGUAUAAUCCUGCUAGGACUCUGUGUGAAUCAGAAGGAACCCAACUUGUUACUUUACAAUCUGAGACAAAACAAGAAGCGGUGUGGACAACCCUUGGUUCAAAUUUCGGUCAGCAUUGGAUGGGACUGGAAAAAACAAAUGAUAUAUGGCAAUGGAAUGAAAAUGGUGUUUUAAUAGAUGUGACGUCCACACGAUGGGAGAAUGUCCAAAGUUCAAAUAAUGUCGCCUACACGAUGUCUUCUCAAGAUAGAUAUUUAUGGAAGAUGACGAAUACUGAUAGUUGGUAUAAACCUGUAUGUGAAGAAAUCUCAGAUACCAGCAGCAAUGCCUUUUUAGUAUCGGACACAGAAACCUCAACUGUUGCGUCUCCUACUACGACUACAACACUACCAGAUACCAGCAGCAAUGCUAUUUCAGUAACUGACACAGAAACCUCAACUGUUACGUCUUCUACUUCGACUACGACGCCAGGAACAAAAAAGAUGUCAAUUUUGUUUGUCCGUCACUUGCAGGCGUUGAAUAAUGUGGUCGUAUAUAAAACUGUAACUGCUGUCAGCGCUAACCAUUGUGCUGUGCGAUGUUUAAUGUUUAGUCAAUGUCGUUAUUUUAGACUUGUGAUGGCAGAUGGUCCAAACUGUGAUCUUAUGGAAGUAAACUCUGCAACUUUUGCAAACUAUGAUUGUUCAGUCCAUAAGUGUUAUAAGCGAUCUCUUGUGUAAUAAAGAAUGAUCAAACCAACUGACCAGGCCCGAUUUCCAUGUAUGCGUUUCCGCCGGCGUAGAAGUCGGUUUGAUGCAAAUGUAAUGGGCCGCUUCCAUGGGGGCCCUAAACGGCGAAACGCGCAGGGUAGCUCCGCCAAAACGCAUACAUGGAAAACGGGCUUUACACAGAUUUCCGAUCAACGAUGUAUUAUUAUGUUAGCGAAAACGCGCUCUGGAAAACGGGCUUUACAUAGAUCUCCCAUCAAUGAUGUAUAGUUAUGUUAGCACGAAUGACGUAGGCUACUUUCAGUUUGAUAGUGUCAGAAACGUCAGAAUCUAUGGACCAUGAAUUUGGCCCCAAGCGUUACCCAUGCCCCACAUGUUGUCCCUGUUAGUGUUGUUGCUGUUCGUCUUCUUCUGGGGGGAGACGCUCGUCCAAACGAAGCCUCAGACUCCGCCAAUUCAAUUUCGACUGAAUGAGAUCUGGCAUGUUUGUUUAUUGGAAAAUUGUGCAUUGAUUGCAGACUUCAGUUUUUGGUAUGACGAAACAAAACCUAGAUGACGUCAUAUCCGGUCCUUGUUUAAAUCGUCCAAAUGCUAAUAUAAUAUUGGAUCAUUUGAACUAGAUAUGUCACAUAUGUGUAAUAAACGUUAAUUACCUGUUACAAUGUGUCAAUUAUAAUAUUCGGACUAUCCUCGUGUAUCAAAAUAACUAGAUAUGUGUCAUUAACA
Long non-coding RNA from Patella vulgata (common limpet), 1659 nucleotides. RefSeq lists it as uncharacterized. Lineage: Eukaryota; Metazoa; Mollusca; Gastropoda; Patellidae. The transcript is spliced from 6 exons. The record is from RefSeq and is a predicted model, not a curated record.